AACGGUCUAUACCUGCGGUACCUGCGGAGGGAUCAUUAUCAAAUAGUCCCGGGGGGAAACCCCUAGCGGCUAUAUCCUCUGAUUAUCUAUCUUUGUUGCUUUGGCGGACCGGGUGUCAUGCCCCGGCGGUUAGGUGCGAACCCGCCUGCCGAGCGUCCGUCAGAGACCCCAACUAAACCCGUUACAUACAAAUGUCGUCUGAAAAAACAAACAAAUAAGUUAAAACUUUUAGCAAUGGAU
Molecule: unclassified non-coding RNA, 240 nt
Filed under: soil metagenome
Description: partial contains 5.8S ribosomal RNA, internal transcribed spacer 2, and large subunit ribosomal RNA
Source: RNAcentral